AGUCCUUAUUUGAUUAUUUUCCACUGUCUUAAAAAAAAAAGUCCUUAUUUAUUUGAUGCCUUUGUUGAUUUUCUUCAUAAUUUUAUUAUCUAUAUAUGCCUCCGUCUCCUCUUUUCUUCCUCGUACGCUUAAUUGCUGCUUACUCCUUCUCUUUCCAUGUUUCCAUGCCUCCUAGUUAUACCCUUUUCCUUUGGUCACCUAUGGCGGCCUUAAGAUUUUAUCUGGAUAGAGAUCGAGGUCUCUAUACCUCUAUAAAUUCCAGAAGUUGUCUAUGAGAGAUGCAUCUAGGGCUGCAGCCCGUGUAGAUAUAUGUAUAUAAUGUGUUCUGGGAAGAAGGAGCUCUCUUCAGUCCAGUCCAAGGCAGUUGAAGGCUGAAACUUAGCUGCUGAGUCGUUGGUUCAAGAGCUCAUCAUAUACAUAAGCAGAAAGUGAGAUGUGUUUUUGAUCCAACGAAGCAGGAGCUAUGUUCAGUUAUGGCUGUCGUGUCUUGGACUGAAGGGAGCUCCCUCUCGAUCCAAUUGUCUACUACAGCAGAUCUAAGAAGUUAUUGAAAGUUUUCUCGGAUGUGAGGGCCGCCAUGGGAGAGUCUUUUAGGUCGCUAGAUGAAGCUGCUGCGUGCUACCUGCUGUGGAGGCUGUGUAUGAAUUGUUGCUCAAGUUUUUGUGAACUAUAUUUCAUAUUUUAACUGGCAUUCUUGUAAUAUUGGCCUUGCUUAAAUAGAUAUUUGCCCAUUACAAUGUCGAAA
Hevea brasiliensis (rubber tree) is the source of this 745-nucleotide long non-coding RNA. RefSeq lists it as uncharacterized. The transcript has 2 exons. The record is from RefSeq and is a predicted model, not a curated record. NCBI's taxonomy places the organism in Eukaryota, Viridiplantae, Streptophyta, Magnoliopsida, Malpighiales, Euphorbiaceae.